RNAcentral lists this long non-coding RNA (666 nucleotides) under Pongo abelii (Sumatran orangutan). Its description in RNAcentral is "lincRNA". The record is from RNAcentral. Lineage: Eukaryota; Metazoa; Chordata; Mammalia; Primates; Hominidae.
CACCACAAGGACUGGAGAAGGGGUCUUCCUCUGCCACCCGGGCUGGAGUGUGCAGCAGCAUGACCAUGGCUCACUGCAGCUUCAACCUCUCAGGAUUAGGACUUUACUGAAGACUCUAAGGAGGACCUGUAUCUGUUGGGAUCCUUAGGGCAAGCCACAGAAACAAGCUUUGGAUACUUGAAGCAGAAAAUGGAGUUAUUGAAGACUAUUGUGGAGUUUACUGUGAGACAGAGAGCCAGGCUGGGGAGCUGUACCACUUAGAAUGAGAUCCAAACUCACACCAUAGUUCCAUCCUUGAGGUCACCAUGUUGCUGCCACCCCUCCUGCCACACCGCCACUGAAGCUUUGGAUGCUGGAUUCUGGGCACAGCUGGGAGAAGUGUUGCUUAUUACCAUUUUAAUAUGUUUUCUUUCAAGACCUUUUCAAAAUAUACAUACGUAUUUUUAUUUCUAUUCAAAAUGGGAUACAUUUUUGAAGGUUAGCAAUAUAUUGUGAACAUUUUCUUUCCAUGCUCAGAAACAUUUUUCUAUAGUAUAAUUUAUAGUGAUAUAUAGUAAACUAUCGCAUAGACCUACCAUGGUUUACCUAACAAAUCCCAAAUCAUUUGUGCCAUUUCUAAAUUUUUAUUAUCUUAUGCAAUGCUUUAAUGAACAUCCUUGCAUUUAU